GCUGUGUGGUUUUCUACAGAGUCCAACCUGUCGACUGGAGACUCUGAGGUUGGAGAGCUGCAGACUGUCAGAGAUCAGCUGUUCUUCUCUGGCUUCAGCUCUGAGGUCAAACCCCUCUCAUCUGAGAGAACUGAAUCUGAGAGGAAACGACCUGCAGGUCUCAGGAGUGAAGGAGCUGCUUGAGCUAAAGCAGCGUUCAGGCUAUCGACUGCAGAUUGUGAGUUGGGAGGGAUCUUUGUGGAGGUGAGUGUGAAGAGGACAGUGUGUGUGGACGGAGGCUGA
Molecule: long non-coding RNA, 282 nt
Organism: Hippoglossus stenolepis (Pacific halibut)
Lineage: Eukaryota; Metazoa; Chordata; Actinopteri; Pleuronectiformes; Pleuronectidae
Exons: 3
Source: RefSeq, a predicted model, not a curated record